CAUAUUAUUAAUAUAAUAAUGGAUGAAGAUAUAUCUAUAUAUAUUCCUCUACAUAUCAAUAAUAACAAUAGUUGAAGUACAAAUUAAUAAUAAUAGUUGGAUAUAUAUCUAUAUCAAUAUUUAUACUAAAUAAUAGUAAAACAAUCAUAAGAAUAACAGUAAAAGAAUAAUAAUAAGAGUAAAAUAGCAAUAAUAACAACAGUAAAAGACUACUAUAUAAUAAAAGGGAAUCCCAAUGCCCCGGAGAAAUGCCUGGCAUUUCCGGUGUUGCCAGAGAAUCUAUAUCGUCCGCUGCCACGGUUAGUCUUUUUGACUUUAAACUAACACCCUUUUUUCUCUUGACAGACAAAUGGCGUGAAAUAGAACGGCUGUGGGAUCUCAAGAAUUGAAAACUGCCUUUGGGAAGAGAGCGUCAGCGAUGGAUUUCUCCAGGCCGCUCUUUUCCCUCCUCCUGGAAUAUAUUCCCGUUUCAUACUGUGGUCUCUUUGAUUUGUAUUUUAUUUUUAUGUUUUUUUUGUGGGGGGAGCAAAAAAGUCUUUUUUGGCCUUCUUCCACGCAAAAGAUUAGUAGGACAUUUCGGGUGAGGUUGAGGGCCCUUUCAGUACAUAGAGUUAUAUAUAUAUAGCAUUAUGAUCCCGCUUGAAUGGGGAGCAUCCCAUCGAAAGGCUUGCAGGACCGAUCCAAUUCCUAGGGAAAAAACACAGGCCAGUCAAACCGCAGAUAAUGGCUUAUCUGGGUUUUACGUUAUUGGGGCUUUUUUUGCUCUUGCACUUUAGUUCUUAUUUAAACCCGAUCCACAAAAGCAAGGUGUGAGCAGCAGGCUGUGAUCACGCUCCUCCAAAGGGGGCUGGACUCCAUCUCCCAUCAGUCCUGUGCACAACAGUAGGGAAUUAUGGGAGUUGGUGUGAUUUUGGAGCUCCACUCUUCUCUCUUCCCUCCUUCUUUCUUUUUCCGAAGGCAAGGCUAGUAUAAAAAUCAUAACACUGAGGUCUCUAGAGCUCCACUCUUCUCUCCUCCCUACUUUCUCUGAAGGCAAGGCUAGUAUAAAAAUCAUAAAACCAAGGUAUCUAAAGAUCCACUCUUCUCUCCUCCCUUCUUUCUCUGAAGGCAAGGCAGUUGAAGAACUAUAAAAUGGAGAACUUUAAAGCUCCAAUCUUCUCUCCUUUCUUUCUCCGAAGGCUGGUAUAAAAAUCAUAACACUGAGGUUUCUAGAGCUCCACUCUUCUCUCCUCUCUACUUUCUCCAAAGGCAAGGCUAGUAUAAAAAUCAUAAAACCAAGGUAUCUAAAGAUCCAUUUUUCUCCCUUCUUUCUCCGAAGGCAAGGCAGUUGAAGAACUAUAAAAUGGAGGACUCUAAAGCUCCAUUUUUCUCUCCUUUCUUUCUCCGAAGAUAAAGCUAGUAUAAAAAUCAUAACACUGAGGUCUCUAGAGCUCCAUUCUUCUCUCCUCCCUACUUUCUCCAAAGGCAAAGCUAGUAUAAAAAUCAUAAAACCAAGGUAUCUAAAGCUCACUCUUCUCUCCUUUCUCUAGAGGCAAGGCAGUAUACAAUCUAUCAAACUGAGGUCUCUGGAGCUCCACACUUCUCUCCCUUUUUUUCUCUGAAGGCAAGGCAGUUUAAGAACUCUAAAAUUGAGGUCUCUUCGGACCACUCUGCUCUCCUUUUUCUGAGGGCAAGGCAGUAUACAACCUAUCAAAAGGAGUUCUUUAGAACUCCACUGUUCUCUCCCCCUCCCUCCUAAUUUCUCUGAGGGCAAGGCAGUUUAAGAACGAUACAACCGAGAUCUUUGGAGCUCCACUCUUCUCUCAUCCCGUCUUUCUCCAAAGGCAAGACAGUAUACAAUCUAUAAAAUGGGGUUUAGAGCUCCACUGUUCUCUCCACUUCCCUCCUUAUUUCUCCAUAGUCAAGGCAGUUUAAGAACUAUAAAACAGGGAUCUCUGGAGCUCCACUCUUCUCCCCUCCCACCUUCCUUUAUUCAUUGAAGGCAAGGCAGUAUACUGCCUAUCAAAUGGGAUUCCUUAGAACUCCACUUUUCUCUCCUCCCUCCUUUCUCCAAAGGCAAGGCAGUAUACAACGUAUUAAGAGUGGAGGCCUCCUUGUAAAUGACCUUGCCAUCAGAGAAAAGGGAAGGGAAGGGAAGGAGGGGGAGAAUCAAAUCGCUGAUAGUAAAAUCUACAAAUGGAGAGAACCAAUUUGAGUUAGAAUUGCCCAUCAAAUUCCUCUCAAUAAAAAAAUACAGGAAAGCUCCCUUUUUUCCUCUCAAUCUAACUCCCAUUUCAGUGGUUCUACCUAUUCCCUGUUCUAGAUGACCGUCAUCCAAAAGACAGAAUUUGGUUUCUUUUUCCAAUUAAUGAUGUGUUGUUGUUGUUUUUUUAAAAAAAUGUGGCAAAUAAAUUUUCGUGCCUGUUUUUAUCAGUUUUAUGGAUAGGCGAACAUGAUCUUGCGUGUAACUAUAUUUAAGAAAAGGAAAUAAUGUCUGAGGCACAGAGAAAAAGGACUUGUACGUUUCCAAUCUGACCACCUUUUGUAUUUUAUUUUUCAAAAUAAAUGCUUUAACUGUG
Anolis sagrei ordinatus is the source of this 2558-nucleotide non-coding RNA. Lineage: Eukaryota; Metazoa; Chordata; Lepidosauria; Squamata; Anolidae. The record is from RefSeq and is a predicted model, not a curated record.